RNAcentral lists this ribosomal RNA (458 nucleotides) under uncultured bacterium. RNAcentral's name for it is "partial 16S ribosomal RNA". It matches the Rfam family "Bacterial small subunit ribosomal RNA", at positions 338 to 795 of the family's 1533-position model. The record is from RNAcentral.
CCUACGGGAGGCAGCAGUGAGGAAUAUUGGUCAAUGGGCGAGAGCCUGAACCAGCCAAGUCGCGUGAGGGAGUACUGCCCUAUGGGUUGUAAACCUCUUUUGUCGGGGAGCAAAAGCCGGACGUGUCCGGCUGUGAGAGUACCCGAAGAAAAAGCAUCGGCUAACUCCGUGCCAGCAGCCGCGGUAAUACGGAGGAUGCGAGCGUUAUCCGGAUUUAUUGGGGUUAAAGGGUGCGCAGGCGGAUUUUUAAGUCAGCGGUCAAAUCGUGGGGAUAAACCCCAUCCAGCCGUUGAAACUGGGGAUCUAGAGUGUGCGAGAGGUAUGCGGAAUGCGUGGUGUAGCGGUGAAAUGCAUAGAUAUCACGAAGAACACCGAUUGCGAAGGCAGCAUACCGGUGCACAACUGACGCUCAGGCACGAAAGCGUGGGUAUCGAACAGGAUUAGAUACCCCAGUAGUC